Molecule: long non-coding RNA, 1144 nt
Filed under: Equus caballus (horse)
Lineage: Eukaryota; Metazoa; Chordata; Mammalia; Perissodactyla; Equidae
Description: lncRNA (ENSECAG00000057757.1)
Source: RNAcentral
AAUAAACAUAGUCAGAAAGGUUCUAUUUUGUUCCUGCUGCUUAGUGUGAGUGGGCUCCCAUGAGCUUCAGAAGGAAUGAAAGGAGAAAACAAUUAAUUCUUCUCUGGAAAAGAUGAUCUGUGGUCCAGAUAAUCCUGGAUCUUGGCUGACCCACCUGAUGAUGCUGAACAGUAACAGGUAGAUUCUUUGCUUUGUGCCGAAAAUUAAAGGUGGCAUGAGCUCACAGGAGAAAACCAGAAGAGAAAUUCCAGGGAAAAGCUAAAGGUGUUUUUCCAGCACUAGUCAUCAUUUCCAAAUUCCAGGCAGGAGAAAGGGUAAGGGAGAAAGAAGAGCAUCAGAAGACUCGUACAUCUCAUCGGAUGGAAAGUUAACACCCCUGAGUACUAAGGAAUCUGGGUAAGCAGCUAGCAGAGGACGGAGGAGAGAAACGAAUAGAGAAUAGCUGCCGGCUGAGCCAAGCUACAGGGUCUUCCACAUUCUGGCGGCUGGAAGUCCGAGAUCAUAGUGCCAGCAGGACUGGGUUCUGGUGAGUGCCUCUUCCAGGUUGCAGAUGGCUGAAUUCUCGUUGCAUCUUUACAAGGUGGAAAAAGAGUGAGCUGGUUCUCUGGUCUUCUGACAAGGGCACUGAUCCCAUUCCUGAGACUCCACUAUCAUGACGUAAUCACCUUGCAGAGGCCUGGCCUCCAAACACCGUCACACUGGGGAUUAGAUUUCCACGUAUGAGUUUUGGGGAACACAAGCAUUCAGUCUGUUACAAGCGUGAAUACCGAAAUCUGGAUGCGGUUCUUGCCCCCAGGAUGGGUUUUAAUUGGCCUUUAUUGCUGGAGGCCUUUUCCGUUUUAUUUCACUUGUGAAAGAUGGGAAACAUUUGCAUCUUUUAUCCCAGAAACUGUUGGAAUAUUUGGAAUAUCCUGGUUUUCUUUUAUUCUUGCAAACUGGCAAUUUCUCUCUGAGCUCAUACCUUCCAUGUGUCACCUUAUUUGUAUGCAGCCAAGGCACUCUGAUGGUAUUUCCUAAUCUCUCUAUCUGAACCACAAACUGAAUCUACACAUUGCCUGCCUUCCAAGUUGUCACAGGUGACACUUCCACCUAAUACUUUGCCACAGGAUAAUAUAGAUUGUCAUCAUUCUGAACUCCUAUAGAA